RNAcentral lists this ribosomal RNA (463 nucleotides) under uncultured bacterium. RNAcentral describes it as "partial 16S ribosomal RNA". It matches the Rfam family "Bacterial small subunit ribosomal RNA", at positions 339 to 795 of the family's 1533-position model. The record is from RNAcentral.
CUACGGGUGGCAGCAGUGAGGAAUCUUGCGCAAUGGGGGAAACCCUGACGCAGCCACGCCGCGUGGGUGAAGAAGGCUUUCGGGUCGUAAAGCCCUGUCAGGUGGGAAGAAACGCAUUGAGUCGAAUAAACUCUUUGCCUGACGGUACCACCAAAGGAAGCACCGGGUAACUCCGUGCCAGCAGCCGCGGUAAUACGGAGGGUGAAGCGUUGUUCGGAAUUACUGGGCGUAAAGGGUGUGCAGGCGGCUACAUAAGUCGGAUGUGAAAGCCCUCGGCUUAACCGAGGAAGUGCAUCCGGCCUGUGUAGCUUGAGUCCCGGAGAGGGGGAUGGAAUUCCCGGUGUAGAGGUGAAAUUCGUAGAUAUCGGGAGGAACACCAGUGGCGAAGGCGAUCCCCUGGACGAGGACUGACGCUCAUACACGAAAGCGUGGGUAGCAAACAGGAUUAGAUACCCCGGUAGUC